This 132-nucleotide small RNA is filed under the name Mytilus galloprovincialis (Mediterranean mussel). Lineage: Eukaryota; Metazoa; Mollusca; Bivalvia; Mytilida; Mytilidae. The record is from RNAcentral.
CACUGCUGGUGGAAUAAACAACAACAAAAUAUAUGCUCAAUAUCACUGCAGGAGCAUCUCUUUUGUUGUUGUUUAUUCCACCUGCAGUGAUAUUGAGAAUCUCUGUUGUUGUUGUUUAUUCCACCAGCAGUU